This is an RNA transcript of Olea europaea var. sylvestris, 1292 nucleotides long. RefSeq lists it as uncharacterized. NCBI's taxonomy places the organism in Eukaryota, Viridiplantae, Streptophyta, Magnoliopsida, Lamiales, Oleaceae. The record is from RefSeq and is a predicted model, not a curated record. The transcript has 3 exons.
UAAAGUAAAGUAAAGUAAAAGAGAGCACGUUAUGAGACUCUCGAGUCUCAAGUCUUCCCUUCUCUUUACUUUUUCUUCAAAGUGGCCAAUCAGUUUCCUCACCCAGACGCGCUUACAGAGAGAAAUGGGAAUUCGGGAUUUCUUCAACUCAAGCACAGAAGCAGUGAAGCGAAAUGCACCGAAUUUCGCUCCGGUGAAGAACGCAUGUACAACCUCUUACAGUUAUGGCUCCGCCGCCUGCGCCAAGAUCGAUAAUACCGUCAGAGUAAACGGCCUCAAAAGGCUCAAACAGUGGCUUCCGGAUGAUGAGGCCAAAUCCAAGAUCGGUAUCUUUGCUGUAAAAUUCGCUAAAAAUGCUGGCCUCUAUGUCCUCCACGAGGGUUAUAAAUUUAUUCCUGGUGCAGCUGCAGUUUCAGAGAUUUUUACUAUGACCUUCAAAGAAGUAAAACGUGAGACCUUAAACGAGAAAUCCAAGCCAUUGGAAAAUACGGACACUGCACCAGGGAAACAAUUCGCUGGUACCAACAAAUCAAUGGACCGAGCAGAGAUACAACCAGGCUCUCUUGAUCAUGUUAAUUCAAUUGACGAUCAAAAUCCAGCAGACAUGAAAAGAAUUGGUACGCCUCGUAUCCGAAGCUCUCUUUGAGAGGCCACGUGAAGGUACUACACGCAGACAUCAUGCGGUUGACAAGGACAAAAUAAAGUUAAGGGCAUUGUGGAUAUGGUAUGAAUAUUAGUUUGCUGUCCAAUUAAAUAUGAGCAGUCGGUUGAAAGUGUAUGAAAAUGGAAAUAUACGGAAAAUGGCAAGGAGAAACAACUCAUAUUCUUGCUUCGGAAACAAUUUCUUAUGUGGAAUUGCAUGAUAAAGUCAAAGAGGUGUUGGAGGUCGAUGCAAAUCCAUAUGAAAUGGAGAUGUUAUCUCUAGUCCCUAUAAUGCGUAAGGCUCCAGCAGCAUCUAUCCUCACUGAUUGCGACAACAAUGUGAAAUGGUUUGUAUUAGAUAGAAAACUUUUCUUUGCGUAAUCAUUUCGAAUGAAGUUAUUGAAAAUCACGAAAAAUUUGGUGACGAUGAUGUUUAUUGCCAAGUGGGGGUGAAAAACAGUUUAGACAUAUGAACAACGAGGAGGAACAUGUUCAAAUGGACGACGAUGGUAACCAUGCCAAUGUUCAUUCCACUUGCAUAGUUCAAGCAGCGGUUGUGAAACUUAAGAUUGUAAUAUUGUUGUGACUUGUAGCUUAUUAUUUUGUACUAAAUAAAAUGACCUUUUUAUCACUAUGUUGCUUUUUCAUGA